This 495-nucleotide long non-coding RNA is filed under the name Brassica napus (rape). RNAcentral describes it as "long non-coding RNA (BNAP_LNC017197)". Lineage: Eukaryota; Viridiplantae; Streptophyta; Magnoliopsida; Brassicales; Brassicaceae. The record is from RNAcentral.
CUAACUAGCUUUUGCAGUUUACUUUUAUAGAUAUGGUGUUGUCAACUUCAUUAAUGUAAACAUAGAGCCAAUCGUUUUGGUUUGUUUCGAACUUUUCUUCUUUUCUUUUUGUGUUAACGCGUUUGAAUUUUGUCUUUCUUUAGAUAAUUUUACACUAUUUCAACUUUACAUAAACUAAUGAUUGUUUUUAACCAACGUAUUUGGUAAAUACGUAAGAAAUUGUGUGUAAUUUUCUGUAGCUACUUUGAUUUCAAAGUCAUAAUUAGUAACAGAAUGAUCAUAUUUUCAUACGCCACAUAAUAAUAAUAAUUAUUAAUCUAAUUAACAAGUAUGUUGACUAAAAAUAAAGUAAGAAUUUAACAGUUUAUAGUACAAAUGGUUUUUUAUUUUGUUUAUUAUUAUAUUUGUUUUGGUACAAAUGGUUAAAAUGCUAAAAAAAAUGGAAGUGUCUUGGAUCCUUCAACUAUCAACUCUCUCUCUCUCUCACAUAUGGGC